Long non-coding RNA from Gorilla gorilla gorilla (western lowland gorilla), 951 nucleotides. RefSeq lists it as uncharacterized. NCBI's taxonomy places the organism in Eukaryota, Metazoa, Chordata, Mammalia, Primates, Hominidae. The record is from RefSeq and is a predicted model, not a curated record. The transcript has 3 exons.
UUCUAUCUAAUUUUGGUAUUAUGACAUAUGCAACAGUUAUGACAUACACAACAGUUAUGACAUACACAACAAAUGAAUGAAAAAUUUUCAAAGCACCAGCAGACAAAUCACUAAACACUAAAAUUAUGCAACUUAUAAUUUCUUAUGACUCAGAAUGUCCAGAUCUUAUAACUCAGGAUAAUAUUUAAAUCAACUCAAUCAGCAACAUCCAGAUGUGUUAUUCAAGAAGGAAUAGUUCUCAGAAGAUGUAGACUGUGUGAGCAAUGGAUUGGAAGGUGGCAAGACAGAGCAUGUGAACAGAUCAGUUAAGAGGCUCCUGGAGCAACCUGGGGGAGGAAUAACAUUCAAUUGACUUCAUGGUAGCAGAAGACCAGAAAACCAGACAGACCCAAGAGGUUGGAAGAAAGAUCUGGUGACUAAGAGAUGACAGGUGCAUUUCCCCAAAUUAACCACUAAAUUCUCAAAGGCAGGGGCAAGCCUUUUGCUUUUCCAAUAUCUUCACCCCCGAGAGCCCAGUCCAAGGCACAGCCAUGGAGGCACCCAUCAAAUAUUGAGAGGCUGAGUGAGUUAAAGGGCUGAAGAAUAUGCUGGACCUGGUGUUUCUCUAGACUACACAGCUGCCCCACCUGGGGCAAGGGAAGAUUGAUGUCACUGUUGUCAUCUGGGAUGCUUUUGUUUGGUUUGUGCACAAUAUCAGGAUGGGGAACCAAAGGACUAUCUUUAAGCUUUAGUUGGCUCUCUAGUCUGUUUGUUUCAAAAGACAAUCUCAAGCAUGUGUCUUAGCCACUGGUAGCUGGGAAGAGACAUGACUGACUUUCCACACUGGCAGAUAGCAAUCGGAGAAAAGAUGAUCCAAUUUAGACGAAUUCAUGCCAACUGAGACUCAGAAACAGAGCCAGAAAUACACAGCAGCCAGUGAGCAAACAGUACCUUUUUCCCCAGCUUUACUGA